Long non-coding RNA from Andrographis paniculata, 574 nucleotides. RefSeq lists it as uncharacterized. The record is from RefSeq and is a predicted model, not a curated record. The transcript has 4 exons. Lineage: Eukaryota; Viridiplantae; Streptophyta; Magnoliopsida; Lamiales; Acanthaceae.
AUCAUGAUAAGAAUUGGUUGAAUCAAGAACAACAUUGUGAUGUUAAAGGGGCAAGGCAUACAGACCAAUCAUGAUAAGAAUCGGUACGUAACUUUGAUACUCAAUAGUAUUAUAAUUUUUUUAUUUUGUUAGGAUCAAACUGAUGUGUUUUCUCUCUAUUGAGGUUGAAUCAAGAACAACAUCGUGAGUAGAGGAAAGGAUUAGAGGCCAAAUCCGACAAUAAUUGGCCCCGAUUGCGAGUGAGAUGAAUCGAGAAAAACACCGAGAGGACUAGAUGGACGAGGUUACGGCGCGACUGCAGUUGAUUCAUGAAGUGUCCCCUGUUUUUUAUGUGCCAUUGUUGUCUUUAAUAAACCUUCACAAGGUUUAGGUUUGAGGUUUGGAUAUAAUAAUGAUUUAAAUUAAAAUAAUAUUUUAUAUGAUAUUUUAAAUGAUCCGAGAUCAGAAUUAGACCUGAUAGAAAAAUACAAGCUUUUUGGACAUCGCUUACCAAUGGAUUUUUGAAUACAUUGACCGGAGAUCGCUCUUGGCGAAUGAGCAAUUUUACUUCAAUAAAGUGAUAACAACAUUAGAU